AGAACGAACGCUGGCGGCAUGCCUAAUACAUGCAAGUCGAACGAACUCUUCGGAGUUAGUGGCGCACGGGUGCGUAACGCGUGGGAAUCUGCCCCUUGGUUCGGAAUAACAGUUGGAAACGACUGCUAAUACCGGAUGAUGACGAAAGUCCAAAGAUUUAUCGCCAAGGGAUGAGCCCGCGUAGGAUUAGCUAGUUGGUGAGGUAAAGGCUCACCAAGCCUUCGAUCUGUAGCUGGUCUGAGAGGACGACCAGCCACACUGGGACUGAGACACGGCCCAGACUCCUACGGGAGGCAGCAGUGGGGAAUUUGGACAAUGGGCGAAAGCCUGAUCCAGCCAUGCCGCGUGCAGGAUGAAGGCCUUCGGUUGUAAACUGCUUUUGUACGGAACGAAAAGUCUCUUCUAAUAAAGAGGAUCAUGACGGUACCGUAAGAAUAAGCACCGGCUAACUACGUGCCAGCAGCCGC
Molecule: ribosomal RNA, 467 nt
Filed under: uncultured soil bacterium
Lineage: Bacteria
Description: bacterial SSU rRNA
Rfam family: Bacterial small subunit ribosomal RNA
Source: RNAcentral